GCCCAGGCCAAGCUUGAACUUCUGGCCUCAAGCGAUCCUCCUGCCUUGGCCUCUCAAAGUGCUGGGAUUACAGGCUUGAGCCACGGCACCCUGCCAAAGAGAACACAGAAUUUGCUACACACUGAAUACAAAAAUGAAACCAUCUAAGUCGGGAUCCAGAGAGCUCCUUCUAUUCCCUCUAGGUGCCCCAGGCCAUCCCAACCUACCCUAGUAAAAACAUUUCCCCAGUCCUGCAGUUUUAGGAAUGAAUGCAUAAAAAUAACAAAAGGUGGCAGUGGGUGAGGCUAUAUGAUAGCUAAGAAGCCUGUGCGAUGAGUCAAGGCUAUUGUCAUCUUGAAGCUAGGUGCGCUUGCCGUAUUUUCUAUCUCCUUUGGUUUUCAUGGCCCCUACCAUUGUCAGGUUCCUCUAGUUAGAAUUUGUGUGAGCAGUCGAAUUUGACAGGUGAUGAUCAUCUGGGUUACAGAAAGGAAGCACGUCAAAGGGUUUGCUAUAAUGACAAGAAAUUACAGAGCCGCAAUAUUCAGUGUGAUGCAGCACAAAAUCCUCUCCCUGAGAGCUGAAACUGUGUAUCAAGCCAAAGCAGUGUUGGUCUGUAUGGAGCGGUCACCGGCUACCUUUAGUGAUAACGUUGCUAGGAUAUGAAACUCCAAAUGCACUGUUAGUGUGAAAAUGGGAUUUUUAUAUUUGAAAAAAAAAAAGAGGUUGGGGGAGAAAGGAAGAAUAAGGAAAAAAGAAAGAAAAGAAAAGUCAGGAAAACAGUCAGUCCCUGGUGCUUUUCCUGGGCAUUAGAGGCACAGGGAUGACAUCACCAGCAGCCUAUCAGGGCUCUCCAGCUUUGUUCAGGUUCUGAAGCCAUGUCAUCAUCGCCGCUGUAGCCCAGAAAUGAAAAUAGAACCAUCUCUAAAUAUACAACAAUGAGAGUCAAGCACUGCUUUAAAAGGAUGAGAGAACCAAGAAAAACUCCUUAAAUCCUUAAAUCAUAGAGUCUUCCUUUCAUAAAGAAACUAGAAUUUGCCUUCUGGAGCCACUAACCCCAGUAUUUAUUUUAGUCUGCUUGAGACUUUACAAACUGGCAGUUAAAGCUAAUUAAAACAUGACUGACACCACCAUCAUUCCAGUUUGCUCCUGGAUGUGGGACAGAGGCAGGUAGACUCUUCCCUAACAGGCAGCAGCAGGAUUAUGGCCACAGUGUCAAAGGGACAGUUUAUUUGGUUUGGAUAUGGGGACAUAGGACUCCCCAGAAAGGUGGGCAAGUGGCUGUUAUUGUUAGUAGGUUUCACUUAGCUAAAAGCACAGUUUACAGUUGCUGAAGUUUGAUUGAUCUGUUGAUAAACACUAAUGUUUUCCAGUUGACAAUUUCUCCAUGUUAAUUUCUUUAACGCUGGCAGACCUGCCUGGAAGGGACCUAUAAAUAGUAUCAGUGUCAUC
RNAcentral lists this long non-coding RNA (1428 nucleotides) under Homo sapiens (human). RNAcentral describes it as "HSALNT0250414". Lineage: Eukaryota; Metazoa; Chordata; Mammalia; Primates; Hominidae. The record is from RNAcentral.